RNAcentral lists this ribosomal RNA (511 nucleotides) under Bacillus sp. KLBMP 2448. Its description in RNAcentral is "bacterial SSU rRNA". It matches the Rfam family "Bacterial small subunit ribosomal RNA", at positions 60 to 554 of the family's 1533-position model. Lineage: Bacteria; Bacillati; Bacillota; Bacilli; Caryophanales; Bacillaceae. The record is from RNAcentral.
AGUCGAGCGGACAGAAGGGAGCUUGCUCCCGGAUGUUAGCGGCGGACGGGUGAGUAACACGUGGGUAACCUGCCUGUAAGACUGGGAUAACUCCGGGAAACCGGAGCUAAUACCGGAUAGUUCCUUGAACCGCAUGGUUCAAGGAUGAAAGACGGUUUCGGCUGUCACUUACAGAUGGACCCGCGGCGCAUUAGCUAGUUGGUGAGGUAACGGCUCACCAAGGCGACGAUGCGUAGCCGACCUGAGAGGGUGAUCGGCCACACUGGGACUGAGACACGGCCCAGACUCCUACGGGAGGCAGCAGUAGGGAAUCUUCCGCAAUGGACGAAAGUCUGACGGAGCAACGCCGCGUGAGUGAUGAAGGUUUUCGGAUCGUAAAGCUCUGUUGUUAGGGAAGAACAAGUGCAAGAGUAACUGCUUGCACCUUGACGGUACCUAACCAGAAAGCCACGGCUAACUACGUGCCAGCAGCCGCGGUAAUACGUAGGUGGCAAGCGUUGUCCGGAAUUAU